AUUUCUCUAGUACUAAGUUAGUACGAAUGACUUCCAAUCAUUUAGUCUUGGUUAAAAUCCAAGGAGGAAUA
RNAcentral lists this transfer RNA (71 nucleotides) under Moenkhausia costae. RNAcentral describes it as "tRNA-Gly". It matches the Rfam family "tRNA". From Rfam's summary of the family: Transfer RNA (tRNA) molecules are approximately 80 nucleotides in length. Their secondary structure includes four short double-helical elements and three loops (D, anti-codon, and T loops). Lineage: Eukaryota; Metazoa; Chordata; Actinopteri; Characiformes; Acestrorhamphidae. The record is from RNAcentral.